GACGAAGGAUGCAAGCGUUAUCCGGAUUCAUUGGGCUUAAAGGGAGCGUAGGCGGCCUUAUAAGUCAGUGGUGAAAUCUCUGGGCUUAACCCAGAAAUUGCCAUUGAUACUGUAGGGCUUGAGUACAGUUGCUGUGGGCGGAAUAUGACAUGUAGUGGUGAAAUACAUAGAGAUGUCAUAGAACACCGAUUGCGAAGGCAGCUCACAAAACUGUAACUGACACUGAGGCUCGAAAGUGCGGGGAUCAAACAGG
This 253-nucleotide ribosomal RNA is filed under the name uncultured bacterium. RNAcentral describes it as "partial 16S ribosomal RNA". It matches the Rfam family "Bacterial small subunit ribosomal RNA", at positions 524 to 776 of the family's 1533-position model. The record is from RNAcentral.